Non-coding RNA from Cinara cedri, 486 nucleotides. NCBI's taxonomy places the organism in Eukaryota, Metazoa, Arthropoda, Insecta, Hemiptera, Aphididae. The record is from the annotation of a GenBank genome assembly.
CUUAAGUUUUCUAAAAGUUGUUGACAUAUUUAUAAAGCUCUUUCUUCAUUCAGUUCCUAUUUCCUGUUAAAAUUACAUUUUAAAAAUUGAAUUGACCAUAACCAGAUUACUGCAAGAAAAUCUUAAAUUAUUGUUUUAACAUUUUAGUUUUAUAGAUAAAAAAUUUUUUUUUUUAUAUAUAUAUAAUAUAUAAUAUACAUUAAUUUCAUGUAAGUUUAAUCAGCAUUAUGUGGUACAAAAAUUAUUAGAAAAAGAAAAUGAGAAUUUGCGAAAACUCACUCAUCUCCUGGGCUUCAGCUGGAAGGUUUGUAGAAUAAGCCAAGUCAGUGUUUAAAAAAAGUUUUGUUGUACAUUUAGAAAAAUCAGUUUGUGUUAAAAUUAUUUUUAUGCUCAUGGAAAAACACUAAGUAUAUGACAGAGUACAGUGUUAUAAAAACUACAGCAUUGGAUUUUAUAAAAAUGUAUUCUAGUAGGACCAAAAUAAAA